Molecule: long non-coding RNA, 1812 nt
Organism: Dreissena polymorpha
Lineage: Eukaryota; Metazoa; Mollusca; Bivalvia; Myida; Dreissenidae
Exons: 2
Source: RefSeq, a predicted model, not a curated record
AUAGCCAUGACGUGCGCACGUCGUAGCUAACCAAUUGUAAUACGCAUCAGAUCAGCCAGUGAUUAUCAAAAAAUGGAAAUACUACGUGAUUUGUUUGAAAAGGGUUUGAAAAACUGGGAAAUUAAGCAUGUAUUGAGAAUGGACUAUGGUGUUCAAAUAAGUAUUCGCCAUAUGAAAACAAAAUUAAUUGAAUUAGGACUGAAAAGAAGACAGUAUUCAAACAUGGCUAGCGUAACUCAUUUUAUACAAAACGAACUUCUUCAAUCCGGUCAACUGCAUGGACAUCGUAUGAUGGCCGCCAGAUGUAAAGAACGUGGUUUAAAUGUACGAAUGGAAGAUGUGCGUAUCAUUUUAUUACACUUGGACCUAGUAGGCGUGUCUCUGAGGAGAUCAAGAAGUAUCCGCAGGCGUGCAUAUUAUGCUGCUGGUCCAAACUUCAUUUUGCACUUUGAUGGCUACGAUAAACUAAAGCCGUUUGGACUCUGUAUAAGCGGGUGCAUAUGUGGCUUCUCCAGACGUUUGAUUUAGCUGAAUGAGUAUCAUACAAAUAAUAACCCCAGGGUAAUCGGUGGGUACUAUCUCGAGGCUGUAAAAAUACAUGGUGGAUGUCCUCGUUUUGUUCGCGAAGAUUACGGGACAGAGAAUGGGCACGGCCGAAAUUUUCAAACAUUCAGACGCGAUUCUCCUGACCAUGAUAGAGCUUAUAUAGAUGGAGCCAGUACAGCAAAUCAAAGAAUCGAAAGUUGGUGGGGUUACCUGAGACGACACCAUAUGCAAUACUGGAUCGAACAGUUAAGAGACCUACAGGAUAUUGGCAGUUUCAGUGGAGACUUUCUGGACAGAAGCUUAGUCCAGUUUUGUUUCCUUGCAUUAAUUCAGGACGAACUUGACCUGGCCUUUCAAAUGUGGAACAAUCACCACAUUAGACGUGCGUCUAAUAGUAACGUGCCAUUUGGUCGACCAGAACAAAUGUACCGCUUUCCGCCAUUGUGGAGUGCAAAGAAUCACAUUGUAGCGAUUACGAAGAUUGAUAUGGCAGCAUGUUGCAGAGAAUCAGAAUUCAGAUAAGUAAUUCCUUGCGAUGAAGAUGUUUAUAAAGUGUGCGUGGCUCUCAUGAAAGAACACAAUCUUUCACCCGCAAAGACCUGCGUUGAGGCUACAGAUUUAUAUUUGUUUAUGAAACGAGAAAUAAUGUCGAUGCUAUGAAAGCCACGCACACUUUAUAAUUAUACAUCUUCAUCGUAAGGGACACCGUUGUUACAUCAUUUCCUCUGAAAAUGAUUGGUUGACUUCAAACAAACAAGGCAAACGCGUUCGACAAGUGCCUAAGUUGACUCUGGCUGAAAAUCAGGUCCGAUGCGUCUAGUUCAAUAUCAAAAUGAUCCAUACAUAAUUCUGCAAAUAUUGACCUCAUACAAAUGCCUGUGUACAUACGUGUCCUCGUCCUAUCACAUCAACUUGAGGGUACUAUGUAAAAGAUCAUGGCAAGUAGAAGUUCUUGUAGAAAACAUUUACUUUUCCCAUUAAACAUGAGUGCUUCUACCAAUAACCUCAAACUUUGAUAUGUUCAUGUAUUAAGAUAGCCUCUACACCACUUUAAGGUCACCAUGUCAAAGGUCAACAUUAACCAUUGUCAUAAACAAGUGCUUCCUCCAAACCGCCUCAAUAUUUCACAUGUAUAUGUACAUUGGUUCUGUAUUCACAUUGUCAUAAAAUGAAAGUAUUUGAGUAGUGUAUUACGUAUUUUGCAAACGUUUCUUGUUCAUUUAUGUACCAUCUGUGUUGUUUUUCAAAUAAAAUAUGUGAAAGUAA